This 370-nucleotide small RNA is filed under the name Pan troglodytes (chimpanzee). RNAcentral describes it as "retained intron". The record is from RNAcentral. Lineage: Eukaryota; Metazoa; Chordata; Mammalia; Primates; Hominidae.
GUAUCUUAUCACCAUGGGUGAGGCAAGAAGUCUUCAGGGGAGGGACCACCGUGUCAUGGGCUGUCCACCCCACAGGUUCCCGGGCCCCUGUGUACUUCUACGAGUUCCAGCAUCAGCCCAGCUGGCUCAAGAACAUCAGGCCACCGCACAUGAAAGCAGACCAUGUUAAAUUCACUGAGGAAGAGGAGCAGCUAAGCAGGAAGAUGAUGAAGUACUGGGCCAACUUUGCGCGAAAUGGGAACCCCAAUGGCGAGGGUCUGCCACACUGGCCGCUGUUCGACCAGGAGGAGCAAUACCUGCAGCUGAACCUACAGCCUGCGGUGGGCCGGGCUCUGAAGGCCCACAGGCUCCAGUUCUGGAAGAAGACGCU